Molecule: long non-coding RNA, 4112 nt
Filed under: Mytilus galloprovincialis (Mediterranean mussel)
Lineage: Eukaryota; Metazoa; Mollusca; Bivalvia; Mytilida; Mytilidae
Source: RNAcentral
CAUUGAGGCUGUAUUACAGUGACUUUGUCUGUUUUUCUGUACUUCUGUCCAUUCAUCCAUUUGUCCGAAUUAUAUUUCCAUCACACUUUCUCUGGUACUAUUGAAUAGAAUGACUGUAUUUAGUCAGCAUCUUGACAUGAAAAUUUCAAGGACUGAAUUUUCAGCUCUCCCUUGACACCAUUUGCGAGUAUGGUCUUGAGGAAAUGAUGAUAGUCUGCCAGAAGGGGAUGAUAAAUGACUGACCUGUGUUAAGAGAGAGCCAUAUCUCUUGCACGUUAAAGACACUCUUGUAGAUUUUGAAAAAGAGCAGACUAAUGCCGCUACAAGGCAGCACUCGCACCCACAAAGUGGAAAGGGAUUAAUAUAAGUUUGCAAAACUUGUUUCCCAAUCACUAGUUAAUAAAUAUGUUUAAACUAAACUAAACAAUAGCAUCUUGACAUUGAUAAGUUGUAUUGUGUGAACACUCUCAAUAUGUUGAAUGAACCUAAAGAUAUUUCAUCACACUUUUCUCAAGUACUACUGAUAUUAGGUCAACAGCUUGGGGGUCAUGAGUUGUAAAGUGUUAGCACUUUUUUGUAUUUGUCAGACACAUACUUCCUGUUUUCUUGUACUUUAAAUUACAAGUGUGGGUAUACUUAGCUUGACAAUGCAUGAAUUCUUGUUUGGUGUUAUUGACGACAAGCUACCCUUCAAUUUUGACAAGAAGAAAAGUAGAUCUCUUAAAUUUACAUUUAUAAAUAAUAUAUAAAUGCAAAUUUAAGAGAUCUAAUUUCUUAUUAUUAUGUACUUGAGCAUUAACUUUUAAAUUGCUAAGGAUUACUGUGGUGAAUUUUAUUUAUUUAUUUAUUUAGUUUUCUGGUAUGUAGGUGCUGUAUAUAUGUAUGUUCAAAUACCAAGCUUGGUAUGGAAACAUUUAAUCCAAUUCUUUUUGUGUAUUUUCUGCAGUACCACAUAUUUAUUCUUUCAUUGACUUGUCUCUAGAAAACGUAAGGGCCUUGAUGGCCAAUUGGUCUAAGUAGUCGAUCUGCUGUAUCACAAGCCUAUCAACACUAAGGUUGUGACCUUGAACCCUGCUCAUGCAGCUGCACUUGACCCUAAUCUUAACUGAUGAAAAUUGUCAGCUUUCCUAUCAAAGGUCAAUGAUUUUCCAUAGGCACUCCAGCUUCCUCCAUUGAUAAAAAACUGGCCACCAUGAAAAACUCCAGGAGUUUCUUAUAAAGAGUAAAUUCUUGACCAGGAUUUAGUGAAGACACAUCAAAUUUUCAGAAUGCAACUUGAAAAAAAGUUGUGACCCUUUGAGUUUAGCAAGGAAGUAAGAAAACACGCCUUUCUAUGGUCUUAUGUCAUUUUCUCUCCAGAUCCAAAAGACAUCAGCUUUUGUCUUUUGCUUAAUUUUUCCUAAGACCUUUUGAGAUAUUAUUCCCACCUGACUCAACCACUUUUAAUAUGUAGUACAUUGUAAUAAGGAACAAAAUUAGGAGGUAUUGUAGCAUUCACUUACAUGCCUAUCCCUGCAACAAUAUUAUUUUGCAUUUCUUGAGCCUGUAAUUGUUAGUUGCUGCCUGAUAUUUCUGUUUUUCCGUUAAUCAUUAUGUCAUAAAGCAGGCCGUUGGAUUUUUUGUAUGAAUUGUUUCUCAUUUUGUUAUACCUGACUUGAAUACAAUAUAGGUUUUCCUCAUUAUUGAAGGCUGUACAAUGACCUAUAAUUGCUUUAAUCAAUGUCAUGUAGACUCUGUUGUUAUCCAUUCGUUUGAUGUGUUUCAGCUUUUGAUUUUGCCAUUUGAUAAGAGAUUUUCUUGGAAGUUCAGUAUUUUACAUUGGAUAGUUGUCUCAAUGGCAAUCAUACCAUAUGUACCUUUAUACAUACAGUGUAACCUAUGUUAUCCGACACACUGGGGGACCAGAAAAAAAUGCACAUGUUGGAAUACUCUGGGUUUUUCUGCAAAGAUAGGCAUAUUUUGGGUCUUUGAAAAUGUGUCAGUUAUUUAAGCAGGAUGUUUGAAUACUGGAGGUGUCGGAUUAGGCAGGCUACAUUGUAGUACUGUUCAUCCUCCUAAACUAUUAUUUUUUAAUGAAAUAGAUCUAAGUUUUAUUAACACUGUUUAUUCAUAUUAACAUUCAGCAUCUAAGAGUUGCAAUUACAAGAAGAAGAGUCAUUAAUGAUCAUGUCAAAAAAAUAAAUCAAUAAGUUGGUAGCUUGUGUGGUCCUAAUAGUAAAAAUAAUUAAUUUGAAAUAAUCAAUUGAAUUUUUGCAUGGUGGACUCAAAUAAAAAAGAGCUUUCCAACCCUAAUGGAACAGUUCUAAAUGAAAUGAGGCAUUUGAAAUGAAAUGAGGUUUUUGUAGUACACAAUAUAGUUAAAAGAUACCCUUAAGGAAAUACUAUAUUAUAUACAUUAUGUACAAAUUAAACGCAUCUUAAUUGUGACCAAGUAGGCUGUCAUAUUACAUAAGAAGUGAAAAUUCUCAGUUAAAAAGUUUAUGUUUAAAAGCCUUAUUUGUAGCUACACCAAUACACUUGUGCUCAAGUGUUCUGUACUUUAGUCAUGCAACUCUCAAAGGAAACUUGGGUCUUUCUUUUGGAAGAUAAAAAUCUCUUUGUAUUUUUCUGUUUUUCCUUUUUCACUUUCUCCCGAAGAUUUUUUUUAAUUGUUCUGUCUGUUUUAAUACACUGGAAUUUUCAUAUAUUUUUUUCUUUUGUAUUUUAAAAACUUUCUUUUUUAAGGGAUUUCUCUAAAAAUUCAACUGGUUGUUAAACCCAACUUGGUAUUGAUUAAAACUUCAAUUUAGUAAAAUUGUAUAUAAGGCAAGAGAAUUACUUUUAGCUAUGAGAGUUCAAUGAUUAAUGAAAAUAAUAUAGUGAAAUACUUAUUCACCUCAAGCAGCCAAUCUUUGGCAAUUUUGUUAGAAUGAAAUUAAUAACAUCACUGAUGAAUUAUUAACUUGCAUGUGAAUAAUUCUACCACAUUGAAUGUCUAUUAAUGUGGCAUUUACUCUAUAUUUUUAACUGUUUUUUUCUAAUAGAAUUUUAGAACUCAUUGGCGACAGGCGUGCGGGAGGUCAGUUGGCUUUAGGUUGCAAUUGUUUCAUUGCAAUAAAUUAUGAAUAAUUCAACCUGUGCUAUUCAAAUUUUGAUAUAGUGUGUUACUGAUGACAAAAUUGAGGUCAAGUUCAAUUUGCACUUUAUAUUGUUUCCAUGUAAUUACUUAAUUGAACAGUUCAACAAAUGCUUUUUAACAUGUAAGUAUGUUGUUACCGAUGACAAAAUGAGAUCAGUUUUGAUAUUGAUAAUUUUCACUUUUGUCGUUCAGGAGUUAUGGUUCUUAUUGAUUAAGGGCAAUAACUUUUAGAAAUAAUCCACCAAUCAUAUUUCAAAUUUGAAUAGGGUGUUUAUACUUAUGGCCAAAUUGAUGUCUACUUCUAUAUUGACAAUGUUUUAAUAUUGCAUUCAGGUGUAAUGGCCAAUAAAUAGAUGUAAAGAAAACCAAGUUUGCUGUCAUUUUGACAGCCACUUGUUUGUGCAUUGUGUUUGGUGAUUGCUAGUCAGGUCCUUGACACAGGACACAUACAUUGUUUAAUGUUAAUAUGCACAAUUACAUUAGAUCCCUCAAAGUUUGAAUUCUAUGUUUCAGUGUAACACACAUUAUUUUAAUUUUGUGCGAGUGUAGUAUAGGAAUUCUAAAAACUCAUCCAUUUUUACCACUUAUAUUUCCAUCACACUUUCUCAGGUACUACUAAAUAGAAUAACUAUAUUUAGUCAGCAUCUUGACAGGAAAAUUUAAGGAACUGAAUUUUUGGCUCUCCCUUGACACCAUUUGCGAGUAUGGUCUUGAGGAAACGAUGAUAGUCUGCCAGAAGGGGACGAUAAAUGACUGACCUGUGUUAAGGGAGAGCCAUAUCUCUUGCAUGUUAAAGACACUCUUGUAGAUUUUGAAAAAGAGCAGACUAAUGCUGCUACAAGGCAGGCAGCACUUGCACCCACAAAGUGGAAAGGGAUUAAUAUAAGUUUGCAAAACUUGUUUCCCAAUCCUUUGUUAAUAAAUAUGUUUAAACUAAACUAAACAAUAGCAUCUUGACAUUGAUAAGUUGUAUUGUGUGAACACUUUCAAUAUA